This 501-nucleotide ribosomal RNA is filed under the name uncultured bacterium. RNAcentral describes it as "bacterial SSU rRNA". It matches the Rfam family "Bacterial small subunit ribosomal RNA", at positions 791 to 1299 of the family's 1533-position model. The record is from RNAcentral.
UAGUCCACGCUGUAAACGAUGAUCACUAAGUGUUCGGCCUUCGGGUUGAGUGCUCAAGCGAAAGCGAUAAGUGAUCCACCUGGGGAGUACAUCGGCAACGAUGAAACUCAAAGGAAUUGACGGGGGCCCGCACAAGCGGUGGAGCAUGUGGUUUAAUUCGAUGAUACGCGAGGAACCUUGCCAGGGCUUAAAUGUAAGUUGCAUUAGGCAGAGAUGCUUAUUUCUUCGGACCACUUACAAGGUGCUGCAUGGUUGUCGUCAGCUCGUGCCGUGAGGGUCAGGUUAAGUCCUAUAACGAGCGCAACCCCUGUUGUUAGUUGCCAGCAUGUAAAGAUGGGAACCCUAACAAGACUGCCGGUGCAAACCGUGAGGAAGGUGGGGAUGACGUCAAAUCAUCACGGCCCUUACGUCCUGGGCUACACACGUGCUACAAUGGUAGGGACAGAGAGCAGCCACUUCGCGAGAAGGAGCGAAUCUAUAAACCCUAUCACAGUUCGGAUC